RNAcentral lists this ribosomal RNA (253 nucleotides) under uncultured bacterium. RNAcentral describes it as "partial 16S ribosomal RNA". It matches the Rfam family "Bacterial small subunit ribosomal RNA", at positions 524 to 776 of the family's 1533-position model. The record is from RNAcentral.
UACGUAGGGUGCAAGCGUUAAUCGGAAUUACUGGGCGUAAAGCGUGCGCAGGCGGUUCUAUAAGACAGAUGUGAAAUCCCCGGGCUCAACCUGGGAACUGCAUUUGUGACUGUAGAGCUGGAGUACGGCAGAGGGGGAUGGAAUUCCGCGUGUAGCAGUGAAAUGCGUAGAUAUCUGGAGGAACACCGGUGGCGAAGGCGGCGUUCUGGACUGCAACUGACACUGAUGAACGAAAGCCAGGGGAGCAAACGGG